CUCAUGCGUUAAGGAUGGCAAUGGCAUCCUUUUUUUACGUCUAAACGUAAAAAGAGAUAUAAUGGACAGCCUGACUUUUU
Molecule: small RNA, 80 nt
Filed under: Algorimicrobium echini
Lineage: Bacteria; Pseudomonadati; Bacteroidota; Flavobacteriia; Flavobacteriales; Flavobacteriaceae
Description: Bizionia echini Flavo-1 RNA
Rfam family: Flavo-1 RNA
Source: RNAcentral